UAUGUUUAUAAACUUAUUGAACAGAAACGAUAAAAGAUCUAUCAUUAAAAUAGAUUUUCCGAAUGACGAGAUACAUUCAAUGUUCACAUAUUCGCGCUGCUUCACAAUAUUGGAGGCGAAAUAUACCGCGCAUCGGGAAAAAGAAACUUAUAAUCCGAAAACAUACUGACAAUGUCAUGUGAAAAAACGAAAAACGGCCAAAAGACAAACAAUUGUAAAUAAAUGGGGAAAUGUGUCCAUGGGACACAGAUGAUGCGCCCGCUUGCAUAUAUGAUGUUAUAAAGUGAUAUUACUAAAAAACUUUAAAAGUGACGCCACCAAAAUUUAAACUAGAUCUGUGAUUUGUUUUGGUAAUCAGCAUUGUGUAUAAGUCUUCCAAAAUUUGUUUGAGGCAAACUAAAGUUAGAGAACGAAAACCAAUUUUGGACGGUACGAUGGACGGACAGACGGACAAGUGUUAAAAGUAAUGCCCCCUCCGCUACGGCGUGUGCAAAAAAAAAUCACAACAUUUAACUUUUAAUCCUCCAAUAGUUGCAGGAGGUCAUGCAUAUAAAAUAUAUAAAAUUAUGGUUCAAUAACACGCUGAGAACAUAACAUUAACAUGAACACAUACUUCGAUCCAAAUAGUACUGGUCAUUUGCAAACUUAAGUAGUGUGUUUAAUAUGACAGGAAAGGAAAUGUGGGAUAAAUGUAGAUUAUAGGCA
Molecule: long non-coding RNA, 705 nt
Filed under: Mytilus galloprovincialis (Mediterranean mussel)
Lineage: Eukaryota; Metazoa; Mollusca; Bivalvia; Mytilida; Mytilidae
Source: RNAcentral